RNAcentral lists this ribosomal RNA (253 nucleotides) under uncultured bacterium. RNAcentral's name for it is "partial 16S ribosomal RNA". It matches the Rfam family "Bacterial small subunit ribosomal RNA", at positions 524 to 776 of the family's 1533-position model. The record is from RNAcentral.
UACGAAGGGGGCUAGCGUUGUUCGGAAUUACUGGGCGUAAAGGGCGCGUAGGCGGCUUUGCAAGCCGGAUGUGAAAUCCCCGGGCUUAACCUGGGAACUGCAUUCGGGACUGCAUUGCUAGAGUAUGGGAGAGGGAAGUGGAAUUUCAGGUGUAGCGGUGAAAUGCGUAGAUAUCUGAAGGAACAUCAGUGGCGAAAGCGACUUCCUGGACCAAUACUGACGCUCAUGUGCGAAAGCGUGGGGAGCAAACAGG